GCCCUGAGAGAGUCAUACAUUGUCGACGAUGAAACAACUCCAAUCCCCAUCAAAAUCCGGCCAAGCAACCAUCUCCAUUCCCUUAACCUAAUCCACCACUAUUUCUUCCCAAAUCCUCACAUAACCAGGUCUGAAUCAAAUCUGAAAAUGAAGAAGGAGACAAUCCGACAAAGCUGUCAUGUUUUCAAUGAACGGUGAGGCUCGAGACUAGUAUUGUUCAUUUGUUCUCAAAAGAACACACGUGUAAUACCAAUUUCGGGUGAAAUCGAAGUUGCCUGAGGUUGCCUGAGUUCCGUCCAUGCGAUUGCCUAGAUAUAUCUGCUGUUACCCCUUUCGUCUCCAUCUUCUUUUUAUUCGUAUACUCGUACCCUGCUGCUUCUCCUCUUUCUGUCCAUUUUUCUAUUUACCCGUCCCUCUCACUUUCUGCUAAUUCUUCUUUACUUUAAUCUGAGUUUGGAUGGUUUAAAAUUAUUAAAACACUAGGUAUGGAUUCUUUAGUAAGCUUUACAAUUUUUCUUGUAAAAGUCCUCAGGAAUUCUGUGGUAGCUUGUGCAUAUUGUUUGUUUUAAUUCUGGUUUGUUUUCCCAAUCAUGUAUGUGGCUCUGGUUAAUUCGAAUUGAAGACUGUUUUUUUAAUUUAAAAUAAGAGUUUAGUUUAGAGAGAAAACAUUCAGGGGUUAUUGUUCCCCUAAGUUCCGCUUGGAUUUUUGAUAUGGUUUGGGCCUUGAGACCAUUCUUGACACCUCAAAGAGCCUGAUUAAGUGUUGGGUCAGCUUGACCCAUUUCUACACUAGUUUAGUUGGGAGAGUAAUUCUCAUAGCUUGAAGGGUAAAUUUGGGAUUGUAUGUGGGGAAUCUGUAUGUAACACAACAGGAAGCUUCUAGGAAGCUGGGGAGGGGGUUGUUUUGAAAUUCUGAAAAUUAAAUUAAGUGUAUCCAAACUAAAAUGAAAACAUAAAAAGGGGCAAAGUACAAAACUGAUAGAGGAAGCUACCCUGAAUGCCUUGUCUAUAAAGGUUCUCUAAGUUGAUAUGCAAGACAGAUGUAGAGAUUGAGAGAGCUAAAAAGAUAUUAGAAAAUCGAGCCGUCUAGAAAAAAGGGUAUACUGUUCCAAUGAAAAAAUCUCUCAAAUUCUUCUGAUCCUCAUUCUAAUAGAAUUCUCUAACAGCUAAGGGUUAAAAUGAGUUGAGUUUUGGUUUUUAUACAAGGGCUUGGGUUCAGAUUUUAGUCGUAUUCUGAUUUUGAACUUUGGUUGUUGCUGUUGUGGAUUUUAAUUUGGUUCAAAGUGUUUUUUUUCUUGAGCAUUUCUGGGGUUGAUAUUGUAGCUGAAACACUACUUCCGCUACUGCUCAAUUGCUGAUCAUCUCUUCUGUCUUGUUUUUUUAAAUUCUAGGUAUUUCUUGGCCCAUAUGAGUGCUGAAGUGUGAAAUGAUUUGGUGUAUUUGUGAUGAAGAUUUCACUUUCAUUUGUUCUGCUUCAGUUUUGUAAUUUGGUAAAAAGGUGAAAUAGAUCAUGGGUAAUAGCCCUUUUGAAGUCUGACUUGUUUAAUCUCAUGAACUGUUCAGUGUUUGAAUUAUUAAUGGAUUUCAGUAGCCUCUUUCAUAUGUAGGACUGUUGAACUCCUCUAUCCUAUUUGGUAGUUGUUAGUUUCAGUAGCAUAGCUUAAUUUGCAAUACAUGUUAGCUGAAGGUAGGAUUUGAUUCGAGAUUUAUCAGGUUCUAUCACUAAUUCAGUGUGAGUGAACUUGAUAUUUUAUCUAGUAGUGUGGCCAAGGUGUAAUAAUCAAAAUGCUAUUGUUCAUAAAGCAUGGAGCUCAUCAAGAGCUUAGGUUACAAUAGUAGUGAUUCCUUUCAGGUGCUUCCAUUGUUUUCUAUCAUGCUUUAAAUGUUAGUUUUUUUCUUUAGAUUUGGAAUAUUGUGAGAGCAUGAGAAGUGAUUAUAGGAUUAAUAUGUUUAUUGGCAUAAGCAUAUAUUCUGUGGCUAAUAGAUGUUUAAAAUGGCUCCUAGUUAACUCGGGAUCCAUGCAUUAGUGUUUAGUUUCCAUAAUUUUAGUUUCGUGGUCAUUUGAUUCAAAUUGAGUAAUCCGUGAAUUUGAAAUCAGUUGCUAAUGCAUCUUUCAUUAGAUCAAGUAUUUCUUUUAUGCAAUUGCUUGAACGUGGCUCCUAGACCUCUUUCUUUUUGGGUUUGCUCCAUUGGCAUUGGGCUUCCUUUGAGCCCAAGUCAAUUCUGGCUUGCCAUGGUCGUCUUCAGCUGUUUUAGAGGCUUCAUCUUGGGCCCAGGACUGAGAUGGUAACUGAUCUGCCAAUACUUAACUAUAGUAGGCUUUGGACUUUUCUGAAAAUAGACAUUAGGAUUUCAAUAAGGCAUUUUAGAUUACUGCUAGGUGUUUCAUUUCUUUAAUCAGGUUAAAAUAAAUUGAGGUGCACUGCACCAAAUAAUAUUACAAAUUGCGUGGCAUUCUUUAAUUAUUUCUUUAAAAUACUUAGAACUUGAGGCGUGCCAUUUAAGAAAUUUAUAUGGCCCUCACAAAGUUAACAACGUGUUAGAUGCUUUUAGGCGCGUUAUUUAAUAAUUUUACCUUCUUAAACUCGGGUGUAUAUUUCAUGUGACCCAAAUCCAAAUCCCAAAAUAUUGAAUAAGAUGUGUUCUAGAUUGCGGGUGCAUUUCAUAUGACGCGAUGCAAAGACAUGUUUUAAACGACGUUUAAUAUUUUUUUAAAAUUGAAUAAAAGCGGUUAAAAGUCAAAAUUUGCACAUAGGUUCAAAAUGUAUUAAAAUUAGAUAAUUAAGUCGAAUAUAAUAGUUGAGCGAUCGUGUUAGAACCAUGGAACUAGGGAAUCCCUCACCCUUCUUGGGGGNNNNNNNNNNNNNNNNNNNNNNNNNNNNNNNNNNNNNNNNNNNNNNNNNNNNNNNNNNNNNNNNNNNNNNNNNNNNNNNNNNNNNNNNNNNNNNNNNNNNNNNNNNNNNNNNNNNNNNNNNNNNNNNNNNNNNNNNNNNNNNNNNNNNNNNNNNNNNNNNNNNNNNNNNNNNNNNNNNNNNNNNNNNNNNNNNNNNNNNNNNNNNNNNNNNNNNNNNNNNNNNNNNNNNNNNNNNNNNNNNNNNNNNNNNNNNNNNNNNNNNNGGGGGGGGGGGGGAGGGUAGGUAAAAAGGAGGGGUAGGUAAAAAGGAGGUGUGACAGUUCUUGCGACUCUGCUGGGGAAAAGAACCAAGAACUUUGGUUCAGGGUUCAAAAUUCGAGCUCAGUUAAAUUGUUAUAUUUUGCUUUAUCUUAUUUUGUUAUAUGGUUGGGCCUAAUUUGCUAUUUGUUUCUUUUACCGCUUUGAUAUUCUGUAAAUUAUAUAUAAAUUGUUACGAAACUCAUCUUCUCUCUGAGUCUUCUAAAUCAUGAAGAAGAGUGCACUUCGUGUGACUUCUUUUCUGUUUAGAGUCAAUCCCAUUUUUAGAAUGAGGUUCGGAUAAGUUGCAAAGCCGGGUUGAGCUUCUGUAUCUCCGGUACGCUUCUCUCCCUCGGCUCCAAUCUCAUUUAGAACGAGGUUCGGAUAAGUUGCUAAGCUGGUGAAGCUUCUGUAUUCCCGGUACGCUGCGUCCCCCUCGGCUCGAGCUGUCUGCUCGAGUAAUCAGGUCUAAUACAACGAACCCAGGUUUUGAACCUAGAAUAACUCAGCCUCCUGCCGGAUCCCUAGUAGCAACUUUUGUUUGCAUCAUGUGCAUUUGACUUUGGAUACUCAACACAGGGGUUGGGUCUGUCUAGGACAGGUGUACCCGAAAUAAAGAGAACAUCCUGAUACAUCCUACUUGCUGCUUGUGCAUUCAUUUGCUUUGGAUUUGCAUAUUGACCGGCUUAUAGGGGUAAAUUGAGAGAAGGAAACUCAACGUGAGGGCUAAGAGAGAUAACUGCUUGUUUUUUGGAAAACCGAUGUCCAAAAUAUACUGAAACUCUGCCGAAAUUUUGAAAAAAAAAAAGAGAAAAUUUUGUUUUAUUUUAAAAGAAGACCAUCCUAAUGCAUCUUACUUGCUACUUGUGGAUUUAUUUGCUUCGGACUUGUAUGCGGGGCUUCUAAAUAUUGGAAAAAGUUGAGAGAAUAGAUAUAGCAGUGUAUGAGUCAAGUGAGUUAACCACAUGUCUCGAAAAAUCAAUGUUCAAAUAGUGCUGAAACUUUGCCGAAUUUUUGAGAAAAAUGAAAUGAAAAAAAAAAAGGAGUCUUAUUUUCAGAAAAUAGUUUAUUUUAUUUGCUCGAACUACGCAUACCUGAUUCUCGUCUUUCGGGGGGUGAUACGUAGCGAAACCACAUAGGGUCCGGUCUUCCCAGUAAAUUUUAGGUUCUUGGCUUCAUAGGGUCUUAGCCAAAUUUUACACUUUUAGCCGCAUAGAUUAAUUUUUGAAAAAUAAUCACACCCACGUCUUGCCUGUGUCAAUAGGGAAUGUUAUUAUCUCACAUGUUGUUGGUUUAAGUUUUAUCAUACAGGUUUGGAGUUAUUUACCAGAGUUUGAGCAUGACAGACACCCCGUGACCAUCAAGUCUGGAUCGCUCAGUCAGGAGUUGCUUAAGGAGAUUUGUUUUAUUUUUAUGUUUUGAGUUUGUUCUUCAUUUUAUGUGAUCUUUUUCUUUCUAAUUUUUGCAAUAAUGUUAAGUCUUUUGUUAUUGUAUUUUUGGCUUUAUAUUUAAAAAAUGUGCCGUAACUCAAGAAUCCAAAAAAAAAAAAGAUGUUGCAUUUUAUAUUUCCGUUAUAAAUUUUCUUUAGAUUACUAAAAAUGGAAAAAGGAAAAAAUUUUGAGGUUUUUUUUUAUUUAAGCAAUUAAUAUCUAGGACUUAAAAUAAAUUAUUUUUAUGUAUCCUUUAAGUAUAUUAGGGCCAAAAUUCAGAAAAAAGAGAAUUUUCUUUUAAUACUUCUUUAAAAGCUUUCUUUAAGCUGUUAAUUCAAAAUCCAAAAAGAUUUUAUUUUGAGGUGUGUCUUUGGGAAAUUAGUGAAAAUAAAAUUUUUCUUUUUAGAACUUUAGGAUAUGGUACAUAGAAGAAAAAAAGACAAUAUACUUUAUCUUUGGUUUAUUUUCAGAGUUUUUAUUUUAGGCAAUCAAAAUUGAAGUCCAAAAAUAUUCUUUAUUUCUUGUUUCAAAGUCUUGCGUUAGGAUAUCAAAUGAAAAUUCAAAAUAUAUUUCUGUGAUUUAUUCUUUAGAUUUUCUUCUAAAAAAAAGAAUCAAAAAAUAUUUUUCUCUUCUAGGAGUUUUCUUAAUAGAGUAUUUGUUUUAAAAGAAAAAAAGAGGAAAAAAACAUUCUCGUUAAGCUUGAGUUUAGAAUAGGUCAUAGAACAUUAAGUCUAGAAAAUUCAAAAAAAGAAAAAGAUUUGCUUCAUUUAUUUCUCUUUUCAAAUUAGAGUAGUCAUUAAAGUAAAAAAAAGAAAAAAAGGAAAAAAGAGAACGUUAGUUUGUUUGCUUUACUCUCGAUCUUCCAAAACUACGCGAAGAUCUGAUUCAUGCGGUAUCAUGAUACGUAUGCAGCCUACAUAGGGUUCGAUCUUAUCAUUUUUUUUAAAAAAAAGGAAAGGAAAAAGGUAAAAAGAAAAAGAAAAAGAGAGAGAAAAAAAGAAGAUGUAAAAUCACGGGAUGUGAGAAAUGAGAAGAAAGAAAAAAGUGAUAAUUAGAAGGGAAAAGAGGAAGGAAAAUGGGCAAGCAAGUUCUAGAAAUAGAAAAGAGAGGUUGAAAUGAACAAUUCGGGAUGAUGCAAACUGACAUUUGUACCCUCAAAGACAUUUUAUAACCGAUAUUUGUGGCUAGGUGCAUUGCAUAUAAAGUGAGUCUAUCUUAUGUUAAAUGCCCGAACGCUAUCCUGAUGGCUUCAUUUUGUUAUAUUCAUAGAAGAAGGGUGGUCGGUUUGUGAUUUUUUAAAAGUGGUAACUCUUCUCUACAACACAAAGUCAAAAGACAAUGACAGACAACAACAAAGCUGAGUGGGUUGAUACUUGUGCCCAAAAAUAGUUGGUUGAAUAGGACAAUGGGUUGGUUGAAGAGGUAAAGAUGUUGAGACAAUAUGGCGGACAUGUAUCAGGCAUCGAUGACUAGGAAGGCACCACUCUCGCCACCACUUAGCUUCCUAGAUGCCGCCCUUACCCAAUCUCUAGACACAAUGCCAGAUGAUCCUCCAUACUCUCUAGAUCCACCUGCUUAUCUCCAAGCUCAUGAUGCCCAAUAUUACCCCUCAGAGGUUUCCCACAAGGUUCCCUACUCAUACAAACAGGGCCUGCGGGAUGAGCAUCAUGUUGAAAAUGAAAAGUUCACAAGAAGAGAAGGGCGAGAUGGGAUACCCAAGAGGCUGAAAGAUGUAGAAUCGUCCUUAAGGAAAAAGCAACGAAUGAGAGACCAGGGUAGCAUGGCUUACAAAGAACUAUUUGUGGCCUCCGACUUUUGCCUACCUACAGGGUUUAAAGUGCCAAAAUUUAACUUUUAUGAUGGGUGUAUAGAUUUGGUAACCCACUUGAAGGUUUAUUGCAGGGAAAUGAGAAGUGUUAGAGAGAAAGAUGACUUGAUGAUGGCAUAUUUCAGUAAGAGCCUAACUACGACAGCUUUGGACUGGCAUACUCGUCAAGAUGUAGGUAAGUUGCCUACAUUGGGUGACAUGGCUCAAGAUUUUGUUCGAUUCAUUCAAUACAAAUCAGGCAUUACCCCAGACCGCUCUUCUCUAUCUAAAAUGGAAAAGAAGCCGGAGGAAAGCUUUAGGGAGUUUGGGCUCAGACGGAGGGAGCAAGCUGCUCGAGUCAGUACCGCGAUUGGGGGAAAGGAAAUGGUUGAGCUUUCCCUACAAGCCCAAGGUCCCACCUACUACAGCCAUUUGAUCCUGGCUUUGGGUGAGCCUUUCAAUGAUACGUGUUACACCUCCUUUUUCACACACCCGCAAGGGCAUAAAGGAGUUUUUUCACUUAGAGAACAAUCGAAACGAGAUUUAUUAUUAAUUAUUUAGAGUCGCUACUUGGGAGAUAAAUGGUAUUUCAAGUCACCAGUUGAAUCCCUAACGGAGGAAAAUUAAGACUCUGUUAACAGUCCGCGAACCAGAAAUACAAAUAAGGAAUUUUGUUAACCCGGGAGAAGGUGUUAGGCAUUUUUGGGUUCCGUGGUUCUAGCACAGUCGCUCAACUGUCGCAUUUAGUUUAUUUAUCUGAUUUUAUUUCAUGAAGAACCUAUGUGCCAAUUUUUCUUUUAUCCUGUUUUAUUCAAUAUGUAUAUUUAAAGAAAAUUGAACGUCGUUUAAAGCGUGCCUUUGGAUCGCGUCACAUGAAAUGCACCCGCAAUCCUAAGCAUACUCUAGUCAAUAUUUUGGGAUUUGAUUUGAGUCGCAUGAAAUACACACCCGAGUUUUGGAAUGUAACUUUAUUAGAAUCGUGUCUAAAGAGACUAACACGUUAUUAUCUUUUGGGAAGGUAAAGAAAUUCGCUAAACGGCCCAUCCCGGAUGCUAAGUAUUUUAGCUUUUACUGAGGGCCCCACACUUUUUUAUUUUAUUGCACGAGGCUCGUCGCAUUUUAUUUUAAAAAGGUAAGCCUAAAAGCAACUAUGGUUUUUUUUUGUUGUCUCUUAAAGAAAAGAAAAUGUCCUAAUUAAUUAAUAUUGUUUAAGGAUAUUGCAUUUGGGUUUAGGAGCUCAAUUUAUUCCAAUCCUCCAUCACUUUGAGCCUCAAAGUUAGACCAUUCAUCACAUAAAUCGAAAGCUACCUAUUGCCAGCCUGGGCCCUGGUCCAAACGGACAUGUAAAUUGGAACUAGACCUGGACCAUUCAUGUGGGUUACUGCGACCCCAAGUUUUGACCAAAAUUUAUCAGAACAAAUUUGUUUCAAUCAAUUUUUAAGCUGGAAACGCUAAUUUACACUGACAAUUGAUGAUACGAUGAGCAUGAAUUAAGAGAAAGUAAUCCCAGUAGCAUACACUCAUUUUCAAUUCCAUUUUAAACCAACCUACUGAUUUUAUACCUACAAAAACUUAUCACUAGUAAAUGACUGUAUUGAAAUUCAAAUUAAACACUAACAUUCAAAUCACAAUCGUAAUGCCUGGAUUACUUCUACCUAACUAGUUAUGGAAACUUAAACGACCAAAUGAUACAUUCCACUGGGCCAUUAACCAAGUUAAUAUGAAAGCUGGAGAUCAACCACGGCUAAUUAACUCAAAUCAGAUUAACUGAAGAUGUACAUUCAACACAAAUUUAAUCUAGACGUAUCCAUAAUUGUAUAACCUCAACUGUCUGACAUCUAAAUCUUAACUGAAGAAUGCCAAAUUAAGAAAAAUCCUAGUUAUACAAAUUAUUGCUAAAUAAAUAACAAGCUAAAUCAGUCCAUGACAGUCCCAUACGAGUUUCAAACAGUAGAAAUAGUAACAAUCCGAGUUCUAUACAAUUCACAUUCUCUGAAAUUAGACAAUCACAUAUUCCUAAACUAAACUAAAUCCACAAUUAUUCUCAAUGAGCACAAACUUGAGGCACCACUUUAUUUUAUUUCAAUUGAAGAUUACACCAGCUGUGAGGUCAAACGCAUGUACCUGGAAAUAGAAUUUCAACAGAAGAAUAAGAUGAGGUUCAGCAACAGCAGUGCAACAACAACAGUCCAGGGAAAAAUUCAGCAAAAUAACAGAGACACAUCAACUACAAGUGAUACCAGCAAUAAAAAACAGCCUAACUGGAGUACUUUCGAUCGAAAUAAACCUUUAACUAACACUCAGAACGCAAUACCAAAGUACUACACCAACUUCUUGGCAAAAAUAACUCAGUAAAAACAAAAAAAAAAUCACCCAAAACAGAACAAACAUAUCUUUGAAACUUUGGUAACCAAAAAUUGGCUAAAAACUUGCAAACUAACAGUUGUAAGUUCAAAUUCACCUAAUGCUCAAUGGAACAAUAGUUUUUCAUUUUUGGAUUUUGAAAUUUUCUAUUUUUUGGGUUUUCUAUAGGAAGAAAGUUAGAAUCUAAGAGAAAUUCCUAUCUGAAUUUAAAUUUCACAUUUGGAGAGCUUGAAGAAGGUUUUUUGGGGCAUUCUCCAGAUGAAAAAAAUACCUCUAGUGAAGGCAUAAGAAUGCCUCUUAUAUAGACGUGAGGGGAGGUCAUUUUAGAUUUUGGCCUUGUGUCACGACCCGGAUUUACCCACCAUCUGGAGUCGUGAUGACGCCUACUGUCGAAGCUAGGUCAGCCAACCUUUAUAAUUAUUUUCACAAACUUAAAUCUAAAACAAUUUAAAUACUAAAAUAAUUAACUAAAACAUGCGGAAGUCUUUUAACAAAUAGCGAAAACAAAAAUGCGGAAAUUAACAACAUUUCUCUACCCAGUAUCUGGUGUCACUAUUCACGGAUGACUAAAGGAGUACUACAAGCACAAUACAAGUACAAUCUGAAGGAAAUACAUAAUAUGUCUGUUUGAUACAAUUAAACAAAUUGAAAAGACAAGAUAAGGGAGACUCAGGGCCCGCGAACGCCAGCUAACUACCUCGGAGUCUCUGAACUGAAGGAUCACUCCCGAACUAUAGUUGCUGUCCGUAGGCUGUGUCAUGACCUGUGCACAAAAAGGCACAUAAGCGUAGUAUCAGCACAACCGACCCCAUGUCAUGGUAAGUGCCCGGCCUAACCUCAGCGAGGUAGUGACGAGGCUAAACCGGACCUACCACAACCAACCUAAACACAUAUAUGCAAUAACAUAAAGAGAACAAGAAUUUAAACAAAUAAAAGGGGAAGGGGACAUGCUGGGGGAAUAGCAGUUCAAUUAUAAAUUCAACAAUCAAGAGAUGGAACUGAAUAAAUAAUAAUUAAAGAAGAAAUCCAAUGAAUCAACAACUGCACGGCAUCACCCUUCGUGCUUUUGCUCUCAUUCUUCACCAAAAAGGUCAAAUAUAAUGCACGGCGUCAUCCUUCGUGCUUUUACUCUCAUUUCUCACCAAAAAUAUCAAAUACAUGGCCCGACAUCACACUUCGUGCUUUUACCCUCGAUAAAUAGUGCACGACAUCACCCUUCGUGCUUUUACUCUCAAUAAACAGUGCACGGCAUCACCCUUCGCGCUUUUACUCUCUCUUCCUCUCCCAAUCAAUGGUCAAAACCAAACGGAAAAAAGGAUAUAUAUAUAUAUAUAUAUAUAUAUAUAUAUAUAUCAAGACAAGAUAUCCCGGCAAGGGAGAAUAAUUCAACAAUAGGUCCUGGCAAGGGAAAUACAACUCAACAAUAGGUCCCGGCAAGGGAAUACAACUCAACAAAUGGUCCUGGCAAGGGAAAAAGUAUCAAAAAUGCCUCUUUAGUUCAUUAAAUCCUCAACAUUCACUUCAUAGUUCUGUAACAAGUAAUUAUCACAAUUGUUCCAUUACUUGACAAUUUAAUGGCAAAAUACGACCUCACGGUCAUGCUUGACUCGGGCGCAUAGGUGACCGUCACUAUACCUAUACACUGACCCACAUAGCAUAUAACAAAUAACAUCCCAAUCCUAAUCCCUCGAGCUAAGGUUAGAUCGAACACUUACCUCGACUGCUUCCAACUCAACUCACGCCUCUAGAAUAGUCUUACCCCUCGAAUUUGCUUCAAAACCGGUCGAAUCUAACCACAAUUUACUCAAAUGUAUCAACAAAUGCUAGUAAAAUCAAUUUGCAUGCAAAAUAAUGAAAUUCCCCAAAGUCAUACUCAAAAAUUCCCAAAAUGCCCCCGGGCCCACAUGGUCAAAACCCGAGGUUCGAACCAAAAUCGGGUAACCCAUUCCCCCACGAGUUCAUAUAUGCAAUUUGUUUUGUACCAAAAUUCCUUUUUAGUUCAUUUAAUUCUCAACUUUCACUUCAUAGUUCUUGUAAGAAGCAAUUAUCACAAUUGUUCACUUACUUUGCAAUUUUAAUAGCAAAUAUGACAUCACGAUCAUGCUUGACUCGGGCAAAUAGGUAACCGUCACCAUACCUAUACACCGACCCCACAUAGCACAUAACAAAUAACAAUCUAAUCCUAUUCCCUAAAGCCAAAGUUAGAUCGAACACUUACCUUGAAUCCGAAAAUAGCAACUCAAAGCUCAACGAUCGCCUUUCCUCUUGAAUUCGACCCCGAACUAAUGAUAUCUAACAUGAUCAGGUUCAAUAUUAUCAAUAAGAAUCCAAAAACACAAUCCCAUAACCUAGAAAUGCAUUUCCUAGCUUACUUCCAAAAAUACUAAAAUCCGGCACCGGACCCACGUGGUCCAAACUCGAGGCUCGGACCAAAACCCAUUCCCCCAUAACCCCAUGAGUUCAAAUAUAUAAUUAGAUUUCAAAUUUGACCUCAAAAUGAGGUUGAAAUACCCAAAAUCCCAUAAACCCUAGCUAAACCCAAAACCCCUAAAUUCCACUUUGAUUUCCUGUUUUAAAGCUAGGAAUUUAAUGAUUUGAUGAAGGAAUAGUGGGAAAUAAUGAUAGGAUUACUUACCCAAAGAGUUGUGAUGAAUUGGGGGCUAGAAUUUCGCCAAUGGAAAAGAUAGGAAAAGAGUUUGUGAGAAAAUUUUGAAUAGCCUCGGGCAGAACACUGUUCUGACUUAAAGAAUUCGCUGGGCAAAAAGAAUAUCCUACGUGGUGGCAGGAACAGGGACGCGAUCGCAUGGAGAUGAGGGAUUCUGGCUAAUGCGAUCGCAGGGAUUGAGACGCGUUCGUAUAGAGGAAAACUGGGUCUGACCUGGGUAGGAUGCUAACACUAUGCGAUCGCGAUUCAAGGAGUGCGAUAACACUGAAAUGAAUGGCCAAGCUAUGCAAUCGCAGGCCAGGUUAUGUGAUCGCAUAGAGGAAAUUUCUAAUCACCUGAAGUUGCCCUAUGAGAUCGCGAAUGAAGUAAUGCGAUUGCAGAGAAGGAAACAUCUGUGCAAAAAUUGCAGAAAAUCUGCCAAGUUUUCAAGAACUAAAACACCCCGAACAACCCCUGAAAUCACCCCCGAGCCCUCGGGGCUCCCAACCAAACACACACUAACUCAAUAUCAUCCUACGAACUUGCUCGAGCGAUCAAAUCGCCAAAAUAACAUCAAAAUCACAAAAUCAACCCCCCAACCAAACACACACUAACUCAAUAUCAUCCUACGAACUUGCUCGAGGGAUCAAAUCGCCAAAAUAAUAUCAAAGUCUAAGAAUCAACCUCCAAAACUCAUGAUUUUCAUUUCAAAGUUCAAAACUUUCAAAUUUUUCAUUUUAGUCCGAAACACGUCAAACGACGUCCGUUUCAACCAAACUUUAUAGAUAGCUUUUAACGCCCGUUUAAGACUUGUACCGGGCAUCGAAACCGAAAUACAAGCCCGAUACCACUAUUUUUGCUAAAUUUCCGUUUUCAUUUUUCCUUAAUAUUCAUAAAACAAUUUUAUAGAAAAGCUCUAUACUCGGGCCUGGGAUUUCGGAUUUUAGUUUCGGGAAUAUGCAUGGGUCCCAAAUUUCCUUACGGACCCUCCGAGACCGUCACAUCACAGGUCCGGGUCCGUUUACCCAGAACGUUGAUCAAAGUCAACUAUAGAAAUAUUAGUAUAAAAAUUCAUAGUUUUUAACAGAGAAUUCAAAUAUCUUCACGUAAAAAUUUUCCGGCAUCGCGCCUGGACUGUGCACGUAAAUCGAGGCAAAGCAAUAAGAGCUUUUCAAGGCCUAAGAAGUGCAGGAAAGGGAUAAUUACGGUGAUGACCCUUUGGGUCGUCACAUUCUCCACCUCUAAAACGACCGUUCGUCCUCGAACGGACAUAAAAGAGAAGUACCGGAGUCGGGGAAAAGAUGAGGAUAAAUGUUCCACAUAUCAGACUCGGACUACAAGGUCGAUGCCUCAAGAGGCUGACCUCUCAACAGAACACAAACAAAAAGGAAACUCUUGGAUCUCAACAAUCAGACUCGGACUCCCAGGUCGAUGCCUCAGGAGGCUGACCUCUCCACUUAGCACGCACUGAAGGAAAACUCAGCGACCUCAACUAUCGAACCGGCCGGUCUAAAAUAGCCACCGGCUCCUCCUCAUAUGACAGAUCCUUGUCCAAUUGGACAGUACUGAAAUCUAACCCGUGGGUGGGAUCACGUGAUACUUUUGAAGCAUGGAUACAUGAAAAUUCGGAUGUACGGCUGACAAGCUAGGGCGCAAUGCAAGUCUAUAAGCCACAUUCCCGACACUGUCCAGAAUCUCAAAUGGCCCAAUAUACCUAGGGCUAAGCUUUCCCUUUUUCCCAAACCUCAUCACGCCCUUCAUAGGCGAUACACAGAUUAAUACUCACUCAUUAACCAUGAAAGAAACAUCCCUGACCUUACGAUCUGCAAGACUCUUCUGCCGAGACUGAGCCAACCGAAGUUUGUCAUGAAUGAUCUUGACCUUAUCCAAGGCCUCCUGCACUAAAUCUUUACCCAAUAACCGAGCGUCUCCCGGCUCAAACCAUCCUACUGGGGACCGACACCGCCUACCAUACAACGCCUUAUAAGGAGCCAUCUGAAUACUUGACUGGUAGAUGUUGUUGUAGGCGUACUCUGCUAACGACAAGAACUGGUCCCACGAGCCUCCAAAAUCAAUAACACAGGCUCAGAGCAUAUCCUCAAGAAUUUGAAUAGUCCUCUCGGACUGACCGUCCUUCUGGGGGUGAAAUGCUGUGCUUAACUAGACCUGGGUGCCCAACUCAUGCUGUACUGCUUUACAAAAAUGCGAGGUAAACUGCGGACCCCAAUCCGAAAUAAUAGAUAUGGUCACCCCAUGAAGGCGAACAAUCUCCCGGAUAUAAAUGUCAGCAUACCUCUCGGAUGAAUAGGUGGUGGCAACUGGGAUGAAAUGCGCUGACUUAGUCAGCNNNNNNNNNNNNNNNNNNNNNNNNNNNNNNNNNNNNNNNNNNNNNNNNNNNNNNNNNNNNNNNNNNNNNNNNNNNNNNNNNNNNNNNNNNNNNNNNNNNNNNNNNNNNNNNNNNNNNNNNNNNNNNNNNNNNNNNNNNNNNNNNNNNNNNNNNNNNNNNNNNNNNNNNNNNNNNNNNNNNNNNNNNNNNNNNNNNNNNNNNNNNNNNNAACCCACCAGGCCUCUGAUGCUCGUACUUAACCUGCUGACAAUUUAGACAAUGAGCCACAUAUGCAACAAUGUCUUUCUUCAUUCUACGCCACCACUAAUGCUGUUUUAAAUCCUGAUACAUCUUCGCGACGCCGGGUGAAUAGAAUACCGAGAACUGUGGGCCUCCGCUAAGAUCGACUCUCGAAUACAAUCAAUAUUGGGCACACAGAAUCGCCCCUGCAACCUCAAUUUUCCAUCAUCUCCCAAAGUCAUUUCCUUGGCACUUCCUCUCUGCAUCGUGUCUCUGAACAUCCAACGCAAGUGGUCUCUUGCUGACCGGAAUAUAUGCAAGACUACCCAUGCUGGCGGACUCUCUACUCAAUGCAUCGGCCACCACAUUGGCAUUCCCUGGGUGGUAUAAAAUAGAAACAUCAUAAUCUUUUAACAACUCCAACCACCUCCGCGAUCUCAAAUUCAACUCUUUCUGCUUGAACAAGUACUGAAGGCUCUUGUGAUCCGUGUACACCUCACACGUCACACCAUACAAAUAAUGCCUCCAGAUCUUCAAGGCAUGAAAAAUGGCUGCUAUCUCUAAGUCAUGAACUGGAUAAUUCUUCUCGUGGAUCUUGUACUGCCUCGAAGCAUAUGCUAUGACCUUUCCAUUUUGCAUCAAUACUGCGCCAAGUCCGAUGCGGGAAGCAUCACAAUAUACAGUAUAAGGCCUAGAUCCCGUGAGCAAGAUCAAUACCGAUACCGUAGUCAGAGCUGUCUUGAGCUUCUGGAAGCUCGCCUUGCACUCAUCUGACCACCUGAACUGGGCACCCUUCUGAGUUAAUCUAGUCAUUGGGGUUGCUAUGGAUGAAAACCCCUCCACAAAACGUCUGUAAUAACCGGUUAUCCCCAAGAAGCUUCGAAUCUCUGUAUCUGAAGUUGGUCGAGGCCAGUUCUUGAAUGCCUCUAUCUUUUUCGGGUCCACCUGAAUACCCUCUGCUGAUACGACAUGACCCAAGCAUGGUAUUGAACUCAACCAAAAUUCGCAAUUUGAUAAUUUGGCGUACAACUGGCUAUCCUUCAGAGUCUGAAGAACCACUCUAAGGUGCUGCUCAUGCUCCUCCUGACUGCGGGAGUAUACCAAGAUAUCAUCAAUGAAUAAAAUCACAAAUAAAACCAAAUAAGGCCUGAACACUCGGUUCAUCAACUCCAUGAAUGCUUCCAGGGCAUUGGUCAACCCAAACGACUUGACUAAAAACUCAUAAUGCCCAUUCCGAGUAUGAAAUGCUGUCUUAGGGACAUCAGACGCCCUAAUCCUCAGUUGAUAAUAACCGGACCUCAAAUGUAUCUUUGAGAACACCAUGUCACCCUGGAGCUAGUCAAACAAAUCGUCAAUCCUCGACAGUGGAUACUUGUUCUUUAUCGUGACCUUGUUCAACUGCCGAUAAUCAAUGCACAUCCUCAUCGACCCGUCCUUUUUCUUCACAAAAAACACUGGCGCACCCCAAGGCGAUACACUGGGUCUAAUGAAACUCUUAUCAAGCAAAUCCUCAAGCUUCUCUUUCAACUCUUUCAGCUCUGGAACGGCCAUGCGAUAUGACAGAAUAGAGAUAGGUUGAGUGCCAUGAGCCAAAUCUUUAUCAAGCAAGUCUUGAAGCUGCCCUUUCAACUCUUUCAACUCUGGCGGGGCCAUGUGAUACGGCAGAAUAGAAAUAGGCUGAGUGCCAUGAGUAAGAUCAAAUACGGAAAUCAAUAUCCCUGUCAGGUGGCAUACCCGUGAGGUCUGAAGGAAAAACCUCGUGGAUUCCCGAACAAUAAGAACAAAGUCGAUAAAUGGAACCUCUGCGAUGGAGUCGCGAACAUACGCCAAAUAUACAAACACCCCUUCUCGACCAUACGUCGAGCCUUGACAUACGAAAUACCACUACGGGUGGCAUGAUCUGGGGUCCCUCUCCACUCAACUCGGGGCGAAUCUGGCAAGGCCAAAGUCACAAGUCUUGGCGUGACAAUCCAAGAUAGCAUGAUACGGGAACAACCAGUCCAUCCCCAAUAUAACAUUGAAGUCUACCAUGUAUAGAAGCAAUAAAUCGACACAGGUCUCAAGACCCUCAAAUUCCACUACACAAGAAUGACGCACUCGGUCAACCACUAUAGAAUCACCAACCGGUAUGGACACAUAUACAAGAAUACCUAGAGCCUCACUAGGCAUGAUCAAAUAGGGUGCAAAAUAAUAUGACACAUAAGAAUUAGUAGAUCCCGGAUCAAAUAAUACUGAAGCACCCCUAUCAAAGACCAGUAUAGUACCUGUAAUCACGGCAUCAGAUGACUCGGCCUCUAGCCUGGCUGGCAAUGCAUAACAACGGGGCUGGCCCUACCUACCUGAUUUGCGUCUUUGGGACGAUCUGCUGCGGUCUGACCCCUAUCUCUGGCUGUCCGGGCUCCACCUCUAUGGUCUUUCCAUCCACCUCUAUGAUCCCUACCCCCGCCUCUAGCUGGAUGGCCGGCCGACCCCUAUCUCUGGCUGUCCGGGCUCCACCUCUAUGGUCUUUCCAUCCACCUCUAUGAUCCCUCCCCCCGCCUCUAGCUGGAUGGCCGGCCUGUGGAUCACCUGCAGCCUGAAUUGUUGGGCGAGUACCCUGCUGCUGAGAACUACUCGAGGCUCGAGGGAAAAAUCUGACAACAUGACCCGUGUCACCACAACCAUAACAGGCCCUCGGCGAUUGAGACUGCUAGCCCUGUCGACCGGUAUGCCCUCCUCUGAAGAUCUAAAGUGGUAGUGCACUGAUGGGGGCUGGUGGUGCAUUGGAAGACUGCUGAUCUGUAUAUUACUACUGCUGGCCACCACCGCCUGGCGUACCACAAGAAACCUGAAGUGUCGACUGGAAAGGUCUCGGGGUAUGGCCUCUGUCAUGGAAAUCCCUACCUCCAGAUGAGGUACCGCUAAAUCUGCCAGAAUGUUGAGGCCUCUUGUCUGAACCCUGACUACCUCCUCGAGCCAAUGCCAUCUCUACUCGGCGGGCCGCGUUGGCCGCCUCCUGAUAAGUAAUACCACUGCAAACUCCCACAACCAUCUGUUGGUGAAUGGGCUGAAACAAUCCAUUAAUGAACCUCUGGACCCUCUCCCGAUCUGUAGGGAGUAUCAUUAUUGCAUGGCGAGCCAAAUCAACAAAUCUGGUCUCAUACUGUGUAACUGUCAUGGAGCCCUGCUGAAGGUGCUCAAACUGUCUGCGAAGUGCCUCCCGCUGAGUGACGGGGAGAAACUUCUCCAAAAAUAACUUUGCGAACUAUUCCCAUGUCAAAUAUCGAGACCCUGCUGGUCUAGAUAGACAACAAUCUCUCCACCAAGUCUUGGCGGACCCCACAAGUCUGAAAGUGCAAAAAUUGACCCCAUUGGUCUCUACUAUCCCCAUAGUCCUGAGGAUCUCAUGACAACUGUAUAGAAUGUUCUGGGGAUCCUCCGAUGAAGCACCGAAAGUAGUAGUGGAAAUCUUGGAGAACCGAUCAAGUCUCCACAAAGUAUCCAAAGACAUGGCCGUCCCAUCUCCGGCCUGAGCUAUAGUGCCUGUCUGAGCUGCCACUAUGGGCUGAACCAAGGGAACCUAAGUCUGGGGAGCUACCUGCUCUAGAGUACGUGUAGCAGGAGUCUGAACACCUCCUCCAGCUUGAGAAGUGGCUGGUACUACUGGCAGCAAUCCUGCUCUAGCAACACUGUCCAUAAAGCAUGUUAUGACGACAAGAGCAUCCUGAAGAUCCGAAAAAAAUAUCACUCCUCCUGGGACCUGAGCUGGGCCCACUGGAGCUGGAACCUCCUCAUCAAAGUCAAUAUAGGGCUCCACCUCUGGAAUGAUUGCCUGGGGCUGAGCACUGCCCCUGCCACGGCCUAUGGCACGACCUCGGACCCUGCCUCUCGCGGGAGCUUCUGCCAGGGUCCUGGGCUGCUGCGCGGAAGAAGAAGAAGCACGUGUUCUCGCCAUCUGUGAAAGAACAGAGUAGGACAACAAUCAAUAUUUGAGAAACCGAAUCGCACGACAAGAAUGAACAAAGUGAAACUUUUCCCAACUCUGUAGCCUCUGAGGGAUAAAUACAGACGUCUCCGUACCAAUCCCUCAGAUUCUACCAAGCUUGUCCAUGAGUUGUGAGACCCAAGUAACCUAGUUCUCUGAUACCAACUUGUCACGACCCGAAUUUACCCACAAUAGAGAGUCGUGAUGGCGCCUACUGUCGAAGCUAGGCAAGCCAACCUUUAUAAUCAUUUUCACAAACUUAAAUCUUAAACAAAUUAAAUACUAAAGUAAUUAACUAAAACAUGCAGAAGUCUUUUAACAACAAUAGCGAAAACAAAAAUGCGGAAAUUAAAAACAUGUCUCUACCCAGUAUCUGGUGUCACUACUCACGGAUGACUAAAGGAGUACUACAAGAACAGUCUGAAGGAAAUACAUAAUAUGUCUGUUUAAUACAAUUAAACAAACUGAAAAGACAACAUAAGGGAGGUUCAGGGUCCGCGAAUGCCAGCGAACUACCUCAGAGUCUCUGGACUGAAGGAUCAUUCCCGAACUAUAGUUGCAGUCCGUAGGCUGUGUCCUGACAUGUGCACAAAAAGGCACAGAAGCGUAGUAUCAGCACAACCGUAAAGCUGCGGUCCGUAGACUGGGUCCUGGACUGUGCACAAAAAGGCACUGAAGCGUAGUAUCAGCACAGCUGACCCCAUGUGCUGGUAAGUACCCGGCCUAACCUCGGCGAGGUAGUGACGAGGCUAAACCGGACCUACCACAACCAACCUGUACAAAUAUAUGCAAUAACAUAAAGAGAACAAGAAUUUAAACUAAUAAAAGGGGAAUGAGACAUGCUGGGGGAGUAGCAGUUCAAUUAUAACUUCUACAAUGAAGAGAUGGAACUGAAUAAAUAAUAAUUGAAGAAGAAAGCCAAUGAAUCAAAAACUGCACGGCAUCACCCUUCGUGCUUUUACUUUCAUUCCUCACCAAAAAGGUCAAAUAUAAUGCACGGCAUCACCCUUCGUGCUUUUACUCUCAUUUCUCACCAAAAUAUCAAAUACAAGGCAUGACAUUACCCUUCGUUCCUGGAUAGGUUACAACAGACAGAUAGGAGAAUGGGAAUCAGAACUGCAGUGGGUGAACAAGAAGGCAAGGAGUAAAAUGGGGAUAAACUCAAUAACAGCAGUAGCCUUCGUAACCACUGUUGCAUUGAUAUGGAGGGAAAGAAAUAAUAUCAGAUUUGACCAGAAGGCGUAUGAGGAAACCCAGAUAUGCAGGGAAAUCGCUUUGCAUAUUCAUAUUCGAGGAAGGGGUUGUCAUCGGUGGAAAAUGACUUUGGGACAGCUUAAUAGAAAUCCGUAGCGUAUGCAUCACCUAUUUACUGUUUCUUGAUUGUAAUUGGUAAAGUAGAUAGCACAUUGAACAGAAAAUGAUUGGAAAAGUCAAGGACCAGUAGCUAGUCGAAAGCUACUGGCUAAAUCUCUACAAUAUAUAUCUGUAUUGAUAAUGUUAAUGGAAUAUAAAUUUAUACCAUAAAAAAAACAGUGCAUGGAUUCAUCCUUCGUGCUUUUACUCUCAAUAAAAAGUGCACGGCAUCACCCUUCGUUCUUUUGCUCUCUCUUCCUCUCCCAAUCAAUGGUCACAACUAAACAGGAAAAAGGAAAUAUAUAUGUAUCAAGACAAGAUAUCCCGGCAAGGGAGAAUAAUUCAACAAUAGGUCCCGGCAAGGGAAAUACAACUCAACAAUAGGUCCCGGCAAGGAAAUACAACUCAACAAAUGGUCCCGACAAGGGAAAAGUACCAAAAAUUCCUCUUUAGUUCAUUUAAUUCUCAACUUUUACUUCAUAGUUCUUGUAACAAGUAAUUAUCACAAUUGUUCACUUACUUCUAAGUUUUAAUAGCCAAUAUAACAUCACGGUCAUGCUUGUAUCGGGCGCAUGGGUAACCAUCACUAUACCUAUACACCGAUCCCAAAUAGCACAUAACAAAUAACAACCUAAUCCUAUUCCUUCAAGUUAAAGUUAGAUCGAACACUUACCUCAAAUCCGAAAAAAGCAACUCAAAGCUCAACGAUCGCCUUUCCUCCAAAAUUCGACCCCGAACCAACGAUAUCUAACAUAAUCAUGUUCAAUAUUAUCAAUAAGAAUCCAAAAACACAAUCCCAUAGCCUAGAAAUGCAUUUCCUAGCUUACUUCCAAAAAUACUAAAAUCUAGCACCGGGCCCACGUGGUCCAAACUCGAGGCUCGGACCAAAACCCAUUCCCCCAUAACCCCACGAGUUCAAAUAUAAAAUUAGAUUUCAAAUUUGACCUCAAAUUGAGGUUGAAAUACCCAAAAUCCCAUAAACCCUAGCUAAUCCCAAAACCCCUAAAUUCUACUUUGAUUUCAUAUUUUAGAGCUAGGAAUUUAAUGAUUUGAUGAAGGAAUAGUGGGAAAAUAAUAUUAGGAUUACUUACCCAUAGAGUUUUGAUGAAUUGGGGGCUAGAAUUUUGCCAAUGGAGAAAUUAGGAAGAGAGUUUGUGAGAAAAUUUUGAAUAGCCUCGGGCAGAACACUGUUCUGACUUAAAGAAUUCGCUGGGAAAAAAGAAUAUCCUACGCGGUCGCAGGAACAGGGACGUGAUCGCAUGGAGAUGAGGGAUUCUGGCUAAUGCGAUCGCAGGGAUUGAGACGUGUUCGCAUAGAGGAAAACUAGGUCUGGCCUGGGUGGGAUGCUAGCACUACGCGAUCGCGAUUCAAGGAGUGUGAUCGCACUGAAAUGAAUGGCCAAGCUAUGCGAUCGCAGGCCAGGUUAUGCGAUCGCAUAGAGGAAAUUUAUAAUCACCUGAAGCUUCCCUAUGCGAUCGCGAAUGAAGUGAUGCGAUCGCAGAGAAGGAAAUAUCUGUGCAAAAAAUGCUGAAAAUCUGCCAAGUUUUCAAGAACUAAAACACCCCGAACCACCCUUGAAAUGACCCCCAAGCCCUCUGGGCUCCCAAACAAACAUACACACUAACUCAAUAUCAUCCUACGAACUUGCUCGGGCCAUCAAAUCGCCAAAAUAACAUCAAAAUCUAAGAAUCAACCUCCAAAACUCAUGAUUUUCAUUUCAAAGUUCAAAACUUUAAAAUUUUCCAUUUUUAGUUCGAAACACGUCAAACGACGUCUGUUUUUAACCAAACUUUACAUAUAGCGCUUAACGCCCAUUUAAGACUUGUACCGGGUGUCGGAACCGAAAUACGAGCCCGAUACCAUUAUUUUUGAUAAAUAUCUAUUUUCAUUUUUCCUUAUGCAUAUUCAUAAACAAAUUUCACAAAAAAGCUUCGUACUCGGGUUUGGACCUCAGAUUUCGAUUCUGGGAACACGCCCGGGUCCCAAAUUUCCUUAUGGACCCUCUGGGACCGUCACAUUAUGGGUCUGUUUCCGUUUAUAGAAAACAUUGACCAAAGCCAACUAUACCAAUAUUAGUAUCAAAAUUCAUAGCUUUUAACAAAGAAUUCAAAUAUCUUCACAUAAAAAAUUUCUGGCCUUGCACCCGGAUUGCAUACACAAAUCGAGUAUACCCAAUAAGAGGUUUUUAAGGCCUCAGAAGCGCAAGAAAAGGUAGAAUUACGGUGAUGACCCUUUGGGUCGUCACACCUUGCACUCUAGUCCCUAUAUUAUUUUCAAUUUAGUCACCCUAUUUUAACUUGUCACAUAGGUAACUACUAUUAUUCUUUGCAAAUUUUCUAAAAGCCCCUAUCUAGAAGCUCCUAGGGGGGUUCCACAUAAUUCUUGUAACAACCAAUUACUCAUAACGCCCUUGAAUUCUUUCAAAAUUACUAAACUAGUUUAGCCAGCUAUAUGCAAUCCUCCUAGAGCUAAUUAUCUUGCCUAUGAUCCUUGAUCAUUAAAUAAACUUAAUCAAACCUAAAAAAUACGAAUUCAAUUAGAUGAGAACCAAAUAGUUUCGAAAUGGAUUUGAACUAAACGAAAUCUACCAAGAAAGAUCAAAUUACAAGAAGGAACUUCAACUAAACUAAUCGAUUUAACAAAUACCUAACAAUUAAACAAUCAGACGAGGAAUCAGAAUUAAUCUAAUAAGUAAAUUAAUAGAAUGAGAAAAACUAAUCCGAAAAUUUGAACUACCUAAAUCUAGAAUUCAAACCAAAGUGGAAGCAACAUUAUACAAUUGUCACAGACCUCACCCAUACAGAAAAAAAGAAAGAAAGAAAUAGAAAAGAAAACUCACUCCCAUUGCCGUAACAUUUCUCUUUUUUCUUUUUUUUUAAAAAAAUAAUCCAAUAACUUUUUGCGAUGACUGACCCUUGCCUCUGAUGGAUUCUUCACGAGGAGGAUGAGGAAACCGUGUAAUACCAGUUUGGUAGUCUUUCGAGAAUUUAUGUUUUCCAGCCAAUUUUGAAUUACAGUUCGAGCCAUUUAAUUGAUAUUUGAGGACAAAUGAUUGUGGAUUUGGGUUAAGGGAGUUGAGGAGACUCUGUGGUGUAAUUUUGAGCCGUUUUGGACAAGAUUGUGUUUUGGCAGGAAAAUUUAGAUCAAAUAUUCGACGAAAUUGGCAAUGAUUUGAAGGAAUACAUUGUGGGGCUUGGAAAUGGGAGUUCUUGGGGAGUCUGUGGUGUAAAUUUGGGAGUGAACGUCGGUGGGGGAGUCCACCGCCACCGUCGAUGGUGGUUCCGGCGACGUUACAAGAGUGUACGAGGAAGGAGAGUUAUGUUUUAGGGUGUGAAGGAUUUUUCGGACAUUAUUAUGUUAAUGGGGAGAGGGUUCUUGUCUGUUGGAUUGGGGAAGAUCAAGGGCUGGGAUCGUGUGACACCAAAUGGCAUCGUGGUGAUGGUGAGGGUGGACCGGGUGGGACGUUUUGGGCAGGGGUCUUUGGGCUGGAAUUAUUUUUGUUUUGGGCUAGUAUUUAUUAAUUGAUACAGCCUAAUUCAUGGUUUUAACAAGGCAGCCUUUUCUUUUCAUUUUCUCUCUCACGUCGUGGUCGAAAUUGAGAAGGCAGUAGGAUCCGGGGCCAAUCCGGGGCCAGUUGGCGAAAUUGAUUUCACUUUUGGUUCGUCUAUAUCUUUCACUAAUUGCACUCUUAAUUUAAUGCCGUUUUAAAUUCAGUACCUCCUUUGAAAUAUAUUUUUUUGCUUGGGUGUUAGCUUAACUUUGAUUAGUUUAGGUCUUAGUUGAAUUUUUUCUUAGUUAUUGUGGCUUUUAGGUUUAUCCACUAGUUUGUUUUUGUGUUUCGACUCAGUAAUCGUUCAAGAAAUUGGUGCCUAUUAGUAGUUUUGAUUUUUUUUUCUGUUUUGGUUACGUCAAUAUUGGUCUAACUUCGAUUAGUUCAAAUUGAUUAAGUGGAAUGUCUAUGUGUUUCCCUUUUAGAUUUUAAGUCUCGUAUUGUUCUUCAUCUUCAUGCCGAUUCUUUUUGAUUCUGUGAUAGUUAAUCGAUUUGAUCGUUUAGUGUAAUUAGUAUGAAUUGGUAUUGAGUUGUAAUUAGGCUUAGGAUUUGGUUAUAGCUGAUUAAUAUAUUGAUAGAUACCUUAAGUUAAUUGGUUGACUGGGAGUGAAUGGUUGGAUCUGGUUGGUAAUUUCAGGGUCUUUAAAGGGCAGUCUGGGGAAUUCAAUUCAGGGAAUCUCUUUAUAACUGAUUUUAGAGGCUUUUCGCAGGGGUUUCUAGGGAAUUAUUAGAUUAGCUCGGGCAUCAAGUCAAAAACCGGAAACAAAAGAGGGAUAGCUAAGCAAAAAUAAAAAUUGAAAAAAAGGACUAAUCUGAAAUAAAACAGGGACUGAAGUGAAAAUAAAAAUUUUAGGGUUGCCCCUUACUUUGCCUAUAAAAACGGCAUUCCCAUGCCUUCACACUCAAGUUUGGAGCCUCCCAAGAAUUCCCCCAUUUCUCUACAAAGUUUCAGAUCUGAAACUUGAGAUCCGAACUCCAAAAUCUUCAAAAAUCAAAAAAAAAAAAAAUAGUAGCAAUUUCUAGAAAAACCAAAAAAAUAAAAAAUCCAGUAGCAAACCAAAAAAGAAUUACUGUUUCCUUUGGCUAAUUGCAAGUUUUAGUGACUGAUAAGCAUUUUCUAGCUCAGUCUCUGUUAAUUGAAGUUUUAGGGUGGUUUACUGGGUUGUUUUUAAGCAGUUCUGGUGGUUAUUCUACAUGAAUUGAUUGUCAAGUGGAGUUUCUUAUUUGCUUUGGUUAGGGAAGUUUUGAAGUAUUUCUACUUUAAUUUCGAGCACCUUUGGGUCAGUUGUGGAGUGUUGUAGUUUUGUGACAUACUACUGUGAUGAUUUCUGGGUUUAUGAGUUAAGCUUGGCUCAAUUGGUCCUGAUUACUGAUGUUGUGACCUGUGGUUGGCACUGUUAUGUGGCUGACCUCCUCUUCUUCUACUUGUACUUCGAUUUCCAGGUACACAGUUGUAACACAAGCUGAUGUAAUUAUGAAUUAAGGAGCUGCAAUAAAAUGCUAGUUUGAGACUUAGGCAUCCAAAUUGCCAUAGUAGAGUAGACAUUAUACAAUUUAUGUUUGUUAGUUGUGCUGCCUUUUGAAUUUGUAUAUGAUUUGUAUAACUGGACUGUAUUAGGUUUAUUGGAACUAUCACGCUAAUCAAUUGAUACUAGUCGUCAAUGAGUUCAGGGAUUUUGCGUUUUUCACAACCGUUUGUACUGAUAAAUUCAGAAUAAUCAUCUAUAGAUAACUUAGUUUGAAUGUUGAGCUAUCCUCAAUAGUUUAAUUUUGUUGUAGAGGUGAUUAAUUAAUAAAGUUAGAGGGACAACCUAAAACAAAUUGAGAAUCAGUCAUGUAAUUACAGUUGCUCAUUUAUGUAUUAAGUGUUGGGAGGUUAAUUAGAGUAAUGACUGAGAUGUUAUUUUCAUUGUGUUGCUCAUUUAAGUAUUAAGUGUUGGGAGGUUAAUUAGAGUAAUGAUUGAGAUUUUAUUGUCAUUGUUAAAUUGAAAUCUGGUUCCAAUUGAUUUUCAGUUGCCAUUUCUUUUAAGAGAUUCACUAAUAGGUAAGUAAAGAUGAUGGUUUACACAUAUGAUUAGAAUUUGCUGGGGAGAAGAACCUAGAAUGUUUUGAUCAGGGUUCACAAUUCGAGCUUAGAUGAAUUGUUGUAUUUGGUUAUAUCUAAUUUUUUUACAUGAUGUGUGUGCUAAAUAUUACCGCUUUGAUAUUAUCUUAACUGUAUAUAAACUGUGACGACACCCUUCUCUCUUAACCUCCGGGGAUGUGCUUACUGGUUGAGACUCCAUAUUCUGUUAGUGUCAUACCCUGAAAUAAGAAAGAGGCUCGGACAAGCUACGAUACCGGAUGGCCUUUUGGUUCCCGGUAAGUUGCCCCCUCAUUGACUAGAGUUGCCCGCUCGGGUACACAAUCUAGAACACCGAUCCAGGUUUUGAAUAUAGAAUAACUUGACUUCAUGUCGGAUCCCUCGUAGGAACGCUUAUUUGCAUCACGUUGCAUUUGAUUUAGGGGACUCAACACAGGGGUUGGGUCUGUCUAGGGCUAGCAACCUGAAAUGAAAAAGACCAUACUGAUGCAUCCUACUUGCUAUGUACAUAUAUGUGUUUCGAUCUGCAUGUUGACCGGUUUCUAAAUCUCGGAAAUGACGGAAAAUUGAGAAAAAGAGAAAAGAGAAAGAAAGAAAUAGCGGUUUGGGAAUUAAUUGAUUACUUUAGAAAAACCAACACCCCAGUACUGCCGAAACUCUGUUGAAAUUUGAGAAAAAUAAAAAAAAAGAAGGAAAAUGUUUUAUUUCGUUAUACUAAAGAGUAAAGGAAAAAUAGAAAAAAGAGUCUUUUAUUUUUGGGAAGGUGUUUGCUGAAAAAGAAAAUAAAAAAGUGUCUUUAUUUUAAUUUGAAAAAAAUAGGUUGAUUUAUUGUUUGCUGAUAAUGAAAAACAAUAAGAGUUGUUAUUCUGUCUUGUUUUCAAAAAAUAGAAAAUGAAAAAUAGUUUGUCAUGAGAAAAGGAAAAAAAAUCUUGAUUUUAGUUCUUAUUAUUUUAAAAUAGUUUAUUUGCCAAUGGAAAAAUAGGGUGUUUUAUCGAAAAAGAAAAAGAGUCUUUAUUUUUCGGAAAAUAGGUUCUGUUACUAAAAAAUGAAUAAAAAGAGUUUUUAGUUUUUAAUUGGGAAAAUAGAUUGUUUGUUGAAAAUGAAAAAAUCAUUACUUUGUCUUGUUUUCAAAAUAGAAAAUGAGAAAUAGUUUGUUUUACCCUGAAAAAUGAAAAGAAAAAAAAGAGAGUCUUGAUUUUUAUUUCAAAUAGUUUAUUAUUUGAUGAAAAAGAAGGAAAAAGAAGAGCCUUUUAUUUUUAGUUUGGAAAAAUAAGUUAUCUUAUUGGGAAAAAAAAAGAAAGAGUCUUUUAUUUUAAUUUGGAAAAUAGGUUGUUGGAAAAAUAUGCUGUUUUAUUGUUGAAAAAGAAGAAAAAGAAAAGAGUCCUGUAUUAAAAGUAGUUUUUUUAUUUUAUUAUUUGCUUAUGAAAUGCCAAAAGAGAAAAUGAAAAAAAAGUCAUGUUUUAAAUGGUUCGGUUAAUCUGCCCGAACUACACAUGGUUUGAUUCUCACCGGAUGUGAGAUACGUAGGCAAACCUCAUCGGGUCCAACUUCCCCUUUACAAAAAUAGCCAAAAAAGUCAAAAUUUUAAUUUUUUGUCAUAAAUAAUCUAGGUGAUGUCGUUUUUGUCAAAAAUAGCCAAAUGUUCCCAAACGGGACGCCAGAAGGCUGACUUUGCAUAAAUAAUCACCCUUGGUCAUGUUUUGGUUUUAACCCUCACAGCCUUAAAUUUUCGUCCUCGAGGCAUUAAAAGGCCAUCUUUUCAAUACAGAGUAUUUUAUUUUGAAAAGAAAAAUAAAGAGAGUCGUAAAGAAGUCGAGUAAUGCCGUUUUGUUAUAAAUUGUCGAAUGUUCCCGAAAGAGACGACGAAAGGUUGACUUUGCAAAAAUGGCCAAUUUUGAUUUUUUGACCGAUUAGCUAAUGCAACCUUAAAAUCUUCGCCCUCGAGGUGCUGAAAGACCGUCUUCGCAAAACUAGGUCUUUUAUUUUAAAUAUGAAAAACAAGAAAAAGAGUCAGUGGUCAAGUGAAUACCAUUUGAUUUUUGGUCAAAAUAAUCCGGCACAGCCUCAAAAUUCAUGUAAAAUUGGGAAUGGCCCAUGUUUGCAAAACAGCCACUUUGUUGAAAUUGGCAAGUAGGGGAAGGAAUUUGUUAGUUUUGUUUUAUCAUGAAAAUGGAAAAUUUCAAAAAAUAUUUUAUUAUCGUUUAUCUUUUACUUUCACGAACUACGCCUGGUCUGAUUCAUGCAGGGUCAUGAUAAGUAGUCAAUCUCCAUAAGAUUCGACCACAACCAAGACCAAAACAAAAAAUUAAAAUGGAAAAGAAAGUUUGGAAAAAUGGAAAAAGAUGUUGUGAAUAAUGAGGACCGACCCAAUCCAUUCUAAUAUGUUUUAUUUUAAAUUGUGAAGAAAGUUGAGGUGGUUGGUUGUGGUAAGCUGGAAACACAAAAUCUGAGGAAAAAUGAUAACUGACAUCGAAGCAGUUACAAGUGCUCAAGAGACUCAGGGUCAGAGGGUUCAACUAGAGUUUACGGGCUUCGAGGAAAAUAGAAUGUCGAAACAAAAAAAAGAUUGAAAUACAUCAAUCAUGGGCCAACAGUCAAGGAAAGCCUCGUCAUGAGUCACAUCUUGCUACACAGCAAGAGCACCGCUCGUGCUCAUUCAAUCUUCCUGCAAACAUUGAGAUUCCUGCACGAACGAGAGUACAGAAAAAAAUAGCCCAAGGAAUGAAAAGAUUAGAAAACAGCUGAAAAACACGCAAGCAAUGGCAGGUCAGAAGAGUGUUGCCUUCAUGGAUCUAUGCAUGUUCCCCGAUGUCCACUUGCCGCCUGGUUUCAAGGUUCCCAAAUUAAAAAAGUACAAUGGAUAUUGAGACCCUAUAGCCCACCUGAAAAGGUAUUGCAACAAAUUGAGAGGUGUAGGAGAAAAUGAACAAUUGCUUAUAGAUUAUUUUGGAAAAAGCCUCUCAGGAGUAGCAUCUGAAUUGUUUUUGGAUAAAGACACAUCUUGCUAGUACGCCUGGGAUGACAUGGCACGGGCCUUUGUCAAAUAGUUUCAAUACAACAUCGACAUCGCCCCAGACCGCAUUUCCAUUUCUAACUUGAAAAAGAAACCAACUAAAAGUUUCAGGGAAUAUGCCAUCAAAUGGGGAGAGCAGACAGCUAGAGUUAAGCCACCCAUGGAUGACCACAAGUUAAUCACUGUCUUUCUACAGGCUCAAGAGCCAGAUUAUUUUCAAUACAUGACGACCGCAUUGGGUAAAUCCUUCCCAUAUGCAAUCAAAAUGGGGGAAAUGGUGGAGAACGGUCUUAAAGACAGUCAAAAUUAUUAGUCAAACAACUCUCAAAGCUGCAGCUCAGGUUGUCCAAUUUGAAUCUAGUGACGCGAAUGGGAGGGAUGAUGAAAUCAUAUAUGAUAUCAGAGUCAAGAAGAGGUCCUGGGAGAACACCUCGGAAGUGUGUACAACCUCAUUAGUAUUACUAUUCACCUCAGAACCCACCAUACUCUGUCGAUCCGCCCCGGUAUGUUGGCCAGCCAUCAAAUCCCCCAAGAAAGCGAGCACGAACUUCAUGAAAUCUCCACCCGCCUCCGCAAAAUUUUCAAGUACCUUAUAAACCACAUCCAAGCCAGGGGUGUAGAAGGGAACAAAAGCUGAAAGAUAAUUUUACACCAAUUGGAGAGUCAUAUGCAUGCUUAUUUGAGAAGUUGAAACAACAUGACAUGAUUGCACCCAUUCCUCCAAAUCAGGUGGACCAAAUUACCCAGAAAGCGAGCAUGAACAUCACGAAAUCUCCACCAGCCUCCGCAAAAUUUUUACGUACCUUAUAACCCACAUCCAAGCCAGGGGGAUAGAAGGGAACAAAAGUUGAAAGAUAGUUUUACACCAAUAGGGGAGUCCUAUGCAAGCUUAUUUGAGAAGUUAAAACAACAUGACAUGAUUGCACCUAUUCCUCCAAAUCAGGUGGACCGACGUGCGAGAAGCUUUGAAUCAUCUAAAAGGUGUGAAUACCACUCCAAUGCUCUGGGGCACAAUGUGGAAAAUUGUCGGGAUUUGAAAAGGGAAAUAGAAAGGAUGAUUCAAGGAAAUUUGAUUCAAAAUAGUGGCACCCAGAAUAUCACGCUGCAUUCUUUACAUGGAAAGAUACACUUGGUGGGAAUGAUGCCCGGAGACAUAGGGUGUGAGAAUCCUUUUGGGAACAUGUGGAAUGAAGUUGAAGACGCUGAAACAAAUAGUGGUCAUGGCAAUAUAGAUGUGAAUCUUAGUGGCUAAAAAUGUCGUGCUUGACAAUUAUGAAGAUGCUCUUUUCUGGGUCAGCCAGGGAGGAGUCUUGGUGGUCCAUUUUGUUGUCAUUUCUGUUGUCCGGGUUGUUUGCAGGGUUGUAAUCCGGAUAUUGUCUUGUGAUCAAACCCUUUUAUCAUUUAAUUUUGUCUAGUUGGUUUAGUCGUGAUGAUUUAUUUAGUGUUGUCUAGGUUUGUUUUAUUUUCAUUCUAGGGUUAUACUCCAGUCAGUUUGUUUGUUUUGUUGUUAGAACUGUUUCAUGCAAAUCCUGAUCUUCUGUUAUUCCCAGUCAUUUUUGUUUAAGUUCUUUUCUAUCCUUUUGUUUUGUCUAUUGCUGGUUCUAGUGACAUGACAUGCACGCAAUUCUUAGCCUGAUCUUUAAGGGCUACAUUAGUUGGGAAACAAUGAAACCAUUUUGAAACAAUAGGGGCACUUGAGGAAAUAAUAACAGAUUUGGACGUUUUGAGAUUGUUUGACGCCUGAACCUUGUGAAACUCGGGUAGAUAGAAUAACCUUGAAGACAGUUGGCCAAAUUGACAGAGGACCGGUCGUGGUAAUAAGAGUAAGAGUGUUUCCAAAUGGUGCAUCAUAUUUGACAGAUGUAGCAGGAAAAUGUGUGAAAAUGGCCGUCAAUUAUGAUGCGGUCAAGAGAUACUGUGUAUCGAAACAUUUUUAGAGGGUUGAAAUGACGAAGGCGUUUUGUUAUGCUAUCCAAACACUUUUUCCAUUGCCACCUUUUUUUGAGCCAUUUUUAUUUUCUUUCAUACCCAUCUUUUGGAAUCAACGACACAAUCAAAGAAACGAAUGCCGAAAAUAAACAAAUGGAAAAGAAGGGAAAAGAAAAGGAAAGAAAGGGAAAAGAAGAAGAGAAGAAGAAGAGAAAACGAAAAAGAUAAAAAAAGAGGGAAAGGAAAAAAAGAAGAAGAGAAAAGAAAUAAUGAAUAACCUAAAAAAGAAACCAACUGAAAGUUUCAGGGGGAAAAAGAUAAAAAAAAGGGAAGGGAAAGGAAAAUAAAAAAAAAAGAAAGAAAGAGGAGAAGAGAAAAGAAUAGAAAAGAAAAAAUGAAGAAAAGAAAGGAAAAAACAAGAAAGCAGAAAGAAAAGAAGAGAAAGAAAAUCACAACAACAUAGUUUCUAUAACAUGAACUACGUUUGACUUGAUCCCGAAGGGUACGUAGGCGGGCUCGCUGUGGUUCAGUCAUACCAAAAUAAAAUUACAAAAGUCCCCAAGCAAGAAACUGUGGCAGAAGUUGUGAUUGUUGAAAGAAGUCGGAUUCCAAAAGUUGUAGUUUUAACCCAUGUUGAAAUUGUUUUGAGCCUUUUAUACAUUUCUUUCUAACCAUAUCCAAAAUCCCACAUUACAGUCCAAAGAAAGACCUCCCAAUCAGUCUUUGAGAAAUGUCAAGUCAAGCAGGUAAAUGUAAUUCAUGUCAAGGGCAUCAUUCUAGUCCAAGAAAGAAAAUAGAGAGCAGGAUUAUGAAAACCUUCACGGGUACCACAAGGCGACGAAAGCUGAGAAAAAGAAAAAUGAGAGAGUCUUAUUGGUGAAAACCUUCACAAGCAAUAAGUGGAGAGAAAGAACAAAUGAGAGAGAUUUGAUGGUGAGAACUCUUCGGGCGCCACAAGUCGAAUAAGGAAAGCGAAUCAAAUAAGUGGAGCAUUGAAGCCCAUUUCACGGAGAAAAGAUACAACAAGAGCUGAACAUCAAGUUUGAUUGACAUAAUACCUACAUGUGCAUGUCAUAGUCGUUGGAGUUCAUAUCCACAUUUGAUAGGUUACUACUUAGUAGUGUCUUCUUUAGGAAUCAUCUCUUGACUUUUUCUUUCACUUCGUUCUUCUGUUUUAUUCACUUCCUCUUUCUGAGUCUAUUCAAUCGUAACAAGCGAGAAAUGACUUUAAUAUUUUCCACUAGCUUUCUAAUUGCACAAAAUGGGGUUUAGAGCUAAGUAAAACAAAAAGAUAAAGGGUAAUACAUCAACACGCAUUGGGGGAUCAUGUGAAGCACAAAGUUUGGUAGAUAUCGGUUCGGGAGUAAUGCAACAAAUGGUGGUAUUUGGUUUGAACGAAGAAUAGAUACUUUUUGUGAUAAGGGUCAAGCGAAUGAGUAAUAGACUUCAGGGUCAAGGGGCUAGGGAUUGUGAUUUAAGAAGCAAUAACAUACUGUGUGGGUAAUAGGUGCAAUUUGGGAAUUCAUGUAAGACUCAAAGGUCAAGAAAAUACCAAUUCAUGGGCGGUAUAACGAACAGAAGAUAUAGGGCUUGAAUGCAGAAAAUAUAUGUUUGGUAACACAGAUAACUGAGAAACUUGUUAAUUAGUAAACAUGCAAGAUCUUCAAGAAGAAUCAGGUGUCAUAGAAAACAUAUAGGGUCAGAUAAGAAGGUUAGAAGUAAUAAUCGAGAGGUAAUCAUCAAGAAGGUCGGAAG
Molecule: long non-coding RNA, 31609 nt
Filed under: Nicotiana benthamiana
Lineage: Eukaryota; Viridiplantae; Streptophyta; Magnoliopsida; Solanales; Solanaceae
Description: long non-coding RNA (NBEN_LNC003601)
Source: RNAcentral